Molecule: ribosomal RNA, 657 nt
Filed under: Distichoptilum gracile
Lineage: Eukaryota; Metazoa; Cnidaria; Anthozoa; Scleralcyonacea; Protoptilidae
Description: partial 28S ribosomal RNA
Rfam family: Eukaryotic large subunit ribosomal RNA
Source: RNAcentral
AAACCGUUGAAAGGGAAGCGAAUGGAGUUAGCAAUUCGCCUCGCCAGAUUCAGUUUUUCGCCUCCCGAGACGCGCGUCAUCUCGAUCUCUGUAGACGAGUGGCGUGCGGACGCGGGACGUGAGAGGCGCACUUCUGGCGGGCGAGCGUCAACGUCGGUCUUCGACGAGCUAUAAGGUCGAGAGGAAGGUAGACUGGCCUUCGGGUCGGUUGUUAAGCCUCUCGAACGCAUGGCUCGUCGGAGACCGUGGCAACUUAGUCGCGACGCGUGCCUCCCUUCGGGGUGGGCUGGUGUCCCGUUUUGCUUGUGCGGUUGUCGACCGUGGCGGACGGCACGCCUGUGCGCUCGAACCGCUGCCGUACAACAUUUCGGUGACACACACCACGCGUCUAGGACGUUGACGACCAUACGGCUCUAUCCGACCCGUCUUGAAACACGGACCAAGGAGUCUAACAUGUGCGCAAGUCUCUGGGUGAUCGAAACCCGUGGGCGAAAUGAAAGUAAAGGCAGCUUCUGCUGCUGAGGUGAGAAGCGUCGGCCUCGCGCCGGCGCCGCAUCAUCGACCGACCUAUUCUACUCCUAGAACGGUUUGAGUAAGAGCGUAUCUGUUGGGACCCGAAAGAUGGUGAACUAUGCCUGAAUAGGGUGAAGCCAGCGG